AACUUUCAACAACGGAUCUCUUGGCUCUGGCAUCGAUGAAAAACGCAGCGAAAUGCGAUACGUAAUGUGAAUUGCAGAAUUCAGUGAAUCAUCGAAUCUUUGAACGCACAUUGCGCCCGCCAGCAUUCUGGCGGGCAUGCCUGUCCGAG
RNAcentral lists this ribosomal RNA (149 nucleotides) under Chaetomium sp. OK3F207HP. RNAcentral describes it as "5.8S ribosomal RNA". It matches the Rfam family "5.8S ribosomal RNA". Rfam says of the family: 5.8S ribosomal RNA (5.8S rRNA) is a component of the large subunit of the eukaryotic ribosome. It is transcribed by RNA polymerase I as part of the 45S precursor that also contains 18S and 28S rRNA. The record is from RNAcentral. Lineage: Eukaryota; Fungi; Ascomycota; Sordariomycetes; Sordariales; Chaetomiaceae.